AGAAAGCGCUGACAACGUUGUUUUGUAAAUUACUUUUCUCUUUUCCUUUUGUGCCUUUGCUUCACUGAGGGGCAUUAUGACGCCCCAGUCGGGAGUGCCGGACAGCGGUCUUCCAAGCCAGCAGAAGCAUUCCAGCCUGCUGGGUUUUCAUCCCAGGCCCAACCCCAGGAAGGCUGUUGCGGAGCGCUGGUCGGAUCGCCUCUCGCCUGUACGAGCUGCGGACCUACAGUCUGCGGAUGGACCAGAUGCGCCACUUUCUGGCCGGCACCGAGACGUUGUUCCACCUGCGCACCCAGCACUCGCCGCUGAUCGGCUACUGGACCGCCGAGCUGGGCGGCCUGAACCAGGUGGUGCACGUCUGGGAAUACGAUGACCUGUCCCACCGGGCGGCGGUGCGUGCCAACUGGCCGCCGACGAGGAGUGGACACAAAAAUACGUGACACCUGUCCUGAGCCCGGCCCUCGUGGCGCAAGACAACUUCCUCAUGCGUCCGCUGGAUGGCACCACCGUCAGUAUGCCGACUGAUACUGGCGUAACGGAGCUACAGCAGCUGGAGCUGCGCGGCCCGCCG
RNA transcript from Pollicipes pollicipes, 571 nucleotides. It is a transcript of the gene named protein NipSnap homolog 3B-like, with no coding region annotated. The transcript is spliced from 5 exons. Lineage: Eukaryota; Metazoa; Arthropoda; Thecostraca; Pollicipedomorpha; Pollicipedidae. The record is from RefSeq and is a predicted model, not a curated record.